UGGGGAAUCUUCCGCAAUGGACGAAAGUCUGACGGAGCAACGCCGCGUGAGUGAAGAAGGCCUUCGGGUUGUAAAGCUCUGUUAUUAGGGACGAACGUUCUAUGUGUAAACAAUGCAUAGAAGUGACGAUACCUAAGGAGGAAGCCACGGCUAACUACGUGCCAGCAGCCGCGGUAAUACGUAGGUGGCAAGCGUUGUCCGGACUUAUUGGGCGUAAAGCGCGCGCAGGUGGGCUAGUCAGUCUCAUGUAAAAGUGCGGGGCGCAACCCCGUAGAGCGUGAGAAACUGCUAAUCUUGAGUGCCGGAGAGGAAAGCGGAAUGCGCAGUGUAGCGGUGAAAUGCGUAGAUAUUGGGAGGAACACCAGUGGCGAAGGUGGCUUUCUGGACGGUGUCUGACGCUGAGGCGCGAAAGCCAGGGGAGCGAACG
Molecule: ribosomal RNA, 427 nt
Filed under: uncultured prokaryote
Description: bacterial SSU rRNA
Rfam family: Bacterial small subunit ribosomal RNA
Source: RNAcentral